This 350-nucleotide unclassified non-coding RNA is filed under the name soil metagenome. RNAcentral describes it as "partial contains 5.8S ribosomal RNA, internal transcribed spacer 2, and large subunit ribosomal RNA". The stretch from base 1 to 120 matches the Rfam family "5.8S ribosomal RNA", at positions 35 to 154 of the family's 154-position model. The record is from RNAcentral.
GAUGAAGAACGUAGCGAAAUGCGAUAAGUAAUGCGAAUUGCAGAAUUCAGUGAGUCAUCGAGUCUUUGAACGCACAUUGCGCCCCCUGGCAUUCCGGGGGGCAUGCCUGUCCGAGCGUCAUUGCUGCCCUUCAAGCCCGGCUUGUGUGUUGGGUCGUCGUCCCCCCCGGGGGACGGGCCCGAAAGGCAGCGGCGGCACCGCGUCCGGUCCUCGAGCGUAUGGGGCUUUGUCACCCGCUCGAUUAGGGCCGGCCGGGCGCCAGCCGGCGUCUCCAACCUUCUAUUUUACCAGGUUGACCUCGGAUCAGGUAGGGAUACCCGCUGAACUUAAGCAUAUCAAUAAGCGGAGGA